UACGUAGGGGGCUAGCGUUGUCCGGAAUCAUUGGGCGUAAAGAGCGUGUAGGCGGUCCGGUAAGUCCGCUGUGAAAGUCGGGGGCUCAACCCUCGAAUGCCGGUGGAUACUGUCGGGCUAGAGUACGGAAGAGGCGAGUGGAAUUCCUGGUGUAGCGGUGAAAUGCGCAGAUAUCAGGAGGAACACCUAUUGCGAAGGCAGCUCGCUGGGACGUAACUGACGCUGAGACGCGAAAGCGUGGGGAGCAAACAGG
This 253-nucleotide ribosomal RNA is filed under the name uncultured bacterium. Its description in RNAcentral is "partial 16S ribosomal RNA". It matches the Rfam family "Bacterial small subunit ribosomal RNA", at positions 524 to 776 of the family's 1533-position model. The record is from RNAcentral.